This 21-nucleotide microRNA is filed under the name Heligmosomoides polygyrus. Its description in RNAcentral is "hpo-miR-10083-3p". Lineage: Eukaryota; Metazoa; Nematoda; Chromadorea; Rhabditida; Heligmosomidae. The record is from miRBase by way of RNAcentral.
CAGUAACGAUGGGUAGAGGUA